RNAcentral lists this signal recognition particle RNA (247 nucleotides) under Deltaproteobacteria bacterium. RNAcentral's name for it is "signal recognition particle sRNA large type". It matches the Rfam family "Bacterial large signal recognition particle RNA". Rfam says of the family: The signal recognition particle (SRP) is a universally conserved ribonucleoprotein involved in the co-translational targeting of proteins to membranes. Archaeal SRP consists of a 7S RNA and homologues of the eukaryotic SRP19 and SRP54 proteins. The record is from RNAcentral. Lineage: Bacteria; Pseudomonadati; Myxococcota; Myxococcia.
UUGUGCUAGGCGGGGAGCUAGCGGUGCCCUUUUCCCGAAAUCCGCUCCAUGCGGGGCUGAAUCCCCUUUUUAGGGUUUUAUCCCGAAAGUGCCGAAUGCCCGGACCGAACACCGCGCAACAAACGCUCACGAAUCUCGUCAGGUCCGGAAGGAAGCAGCGAUAAGUGAUGCCGUCUGUGUCGUGGUCUUAUUCCGGUUCUUCGGGCCGUUCGCAUCUGACGGGGGAAACUCGAUAAAGGGUGCACAA